GCCUUCCUCCUCCAGGGUGGUGGACAAUGAGAGGGCACCAUGUUCAUUGGGGUAUGGCAUGAAUGGUUGGUCUUCGGGUUCAGGUUCUGGCAUACCCAUCAAUGGCUGGGCCAAAGUAAUCCCCUCAGCUGCUCCCUCAUUCUCUUCGGAUCUGUUGCUGCUGUGGGGUU
Chelonoidis abingdonii (Abingdon island giant tortoise) is the source of this 170-nucleotide non-coding RNA. The record is from RefSeq and is a predicted model, not a curated record. NCBI's taxonomy places the organism in Eukaryota, Metazoa, Chordata, Testudines, Testudinidae.